CUAUUUAUUCAAAUAUUUUACUCACUUUUAAUUAUUGUAUAUCACAUGAUGUAUUCAUAAGAUGUGGUAGGCAUGGAAAUUAAACUAUAACAGUAACAACAAACAACAGCAGCCAAUUAUUAUACCGGUGCUCAUUUAGAAGAAAAAUAAAAUGCAAUCGGUGCUGGCACGUAUAGCAACAUCUAGUAGCUUCUGGUCGGUACUCGGUGCAGCCAACUAAAAAAGCAAUCCACACCGAGAGCGACCUCCAACUGCGUGCCUUAUCGACACCGGCUGUUCUCCCUGCUAGCCACACACACACCCACGCGACCGUGCUCCAGUCCACGGCGCCGCGUUGCCCUUCUCUCUUCCCUCCUCUCUUAAAUCCUCCGAGCUUUUGUCGGCCAGUUGUGGCGCGGCUGCGUAUGGGCUCCUGGUGGCCGGGCCUGCGCGUGGGGGCGGACUGGGUCUGUGGCGGAGGCGCGACAGCGGUGGCCGGCGGCUGCUUGACGGGGCCACGUGGAUCUGCCGCCGGGGCUGCGGAUCGGCGUGGUCGUCUGAGCCCCAAGUUUUCGACGCCGAGGACUUGAGGGAAGGAGCCAAGCGAAUGAGAGGAAGAUGAGGAAGGGCUUGAUCUCGAGGAACCAGCCUGCACUGAGCCCCGCCGCCUCAUCAGGAGCUCGUCUCCCUGCCUGCCGGCGGCUAACCGGAGCCACCACCGCCGGUGACCGCAUCCCUCACCUUGUGCCCCUCCUCCUUCUCCUUUCUUCCUCUCUUCCCCGAGGAGCGGGGAGCCGGCGGGUCCGUCGGUCAGGAGCUAGGCCGCGCUCUCCAUCAUCGCCGCCGUUUGGGGAGGGACGCGGUGCAGGUCGACGCGGCACGGGGCAGGAGGUGGCAGCAGGAUGGACGUGGAGAUGGGAUCGAGGAGGCAGGGUCGUGCGGGGCGCUGUUUUUCUUUUUCUCUCCUGUGUGUCGGUUUGGGGCUGACUAAUGAUGGAAGUGUGGGUUCAAUUUCCAAAAAAGAGAAGGGUCUUUUUGCAAAAGUGCGACGACGGGUGUGUGGGCAUAAGCAGUAGAUGCUUUAUUAUUAGGUAAAGAUUAACUGGGUUUUUCAGCCAUUUUAUGCACAUAAUUUAAAUUUGAACUACAUGCACAUUCUCCAGUGCAGAUAAACUAGUUGAAAAAUCAAA
This is a long non-coding RNA of Aegilops tauschii subsp. strangulata, 1169 nucleotides long. RefSeq lists it as uncharacterized. Lineage: Eukaryota; Viridiplantae; Streptophyta; Magnoliopsida; Poales; Poaceae. The record is from RefSeq and is a predicted model, not a curated record.